This 385-nucleotide long non-coding RNA is filed under the name Androctonus crassicauda. Lineage: Eukaryota; Metazoa; Arthropoda; Arachnida; Scorpiones; Buthidae. The record is from RNAcentral.
UAUCAGUAGAUCUAUAUAUUUAAUUAUUUUAUUAAUUUUUAAAGCAGUUUUUGUGUUACUAUCUUUACAAUUCAUUAUAUAAUUUAUGAAAUCAUCUGAUUUUUUUAAUUGUUUAUCAAAAAGCUUUUGUUAAAUUAAAAUUUUCUUUUUCUUUAUUGUUUAUGUAUAUUCUCUCAGUACGCAAGAAACCAAAGAUCCCUCCCAAGCCACUUCUUCAUCCUGUAUCUCGUGAACCUAAAAUAUUCAUCGCAGAUGGUUGGUUUUUCUGUAUAAACUAUAAAGUUUCAGAUUGUUAUUAUGCAUGCAGAGAUUUGAAUUUGCUUAUUUAUUUGCAUGUAGAUUGUCAGUCAAUUCUGGUUAAAGAUGAUAAUUAAAAAAAUAAAAG